CCGGCUGUGCUUCCUGCGGCCCCAGCCCGGCUCUGAUUACCCUGCGCCGCAAUCUAUCUGUUUACCCGGAACCCUGCCUGGCGCCCACUCCGAGGUGGGGACCGUGUCUUCCCCACCUCUGAGUUCCCCGCUCCUACUCCCCACCUGGCACCGAGCAGGCGCCCCAGUAAUGACGGUCAGACGCCCUGGCUGCUGAAGAAGAAGAAGAAAAAGAAAAGGCAAAAUGGUCAAGGCCAAGAUAGCUUGAACUGAACAUCAUCAAAAGCAUUUACUAAGCAUGCGGGGGAAAUGGAAAUGAAGGGUCGUGCUCUGUGAGGUCGUCUUCCCUAGUGAGGGCCAAACCCAAUCAAACCUGUCUUUGGAAGGCCAUGAAUCACCAUAGCCUGACAUACAAGGAUUCGUUCAAGCACAGCUGAGGGGACAAGGAUCCCGGCCGGCCAGAAUGGCAGAGUGAAAGGAGAGAAGCCGGCUGAGGUCUGGUUCUACCCCUUUCCCUGGGCAAAUUACUUAAAAGUCUCAGAAUCUCAGUGUCCUUGUUAGAGAAGGAAGGAUUAGAACCACCGCCGGGGUUAUUUGAGAGGAUGAAAUGAGACAUACAGGGGUGCCUGGGGGCUGUGACUUCGAGAGCUAUCUCGGGGCUGUGACUUCGAGCCUCACACUGCGUGCAGAGAUUACUUGAAAAGAAAAGUUCUUAGUAAAUUACUAGGCAUGUAGAAGGGUCACAGGCCAGGAGCAGGGACACUGGAGGAGUGGAGACACUGAAACAAAGUAGGAGAACGAGCCCAGGGGACAGAGUGGUUCACAGUGUCCUUCACCGUGGGAAGGAAGCAUCUGGGCAGACCCGGCUCACAGGGACAGGAGGAACCAGUAAGAAUCCCCAGGCAAGCCAUGAACAGAGCCACGAACGAGCAUGGUGUUCGUGAUUGCUAAUCCAUCAUUUUGGGGUGGGGAUAAGGAGCCAAAGGGGCCAGCCCCAGUCUCGGAGGCUGAAAGUGAACCAGGAAGAGAGCCGGAGCUCCCGCCUGAAGGCAUCCCCUUUCGGCACAAGAGAGAGAGAAAGCGGAUCUGCUGACGGCGAGAGUUGAGGCUUUGCCCCUAAGGCAAAGCUCCUUAGGGAAGCUGUGAGAGGUCCGGAAGAGCUCCCGGACGGAAGGGAAAGAAGGAGCGUCACCGCCCAGAUCCACGUGACAUCGCGGCUGAGGGGACCAGCUGGAGUUAGGGGUACGACCUGCGAGAGAGAUCACAAGUAGGCAGAGAGGCAGGCAGAGAGAGGGGGAUACAGGCUCCCCACCGGGCAGAGAGCUCCAGGA
This is a long non-coding RNA of Mustela erminea (ermine), 1310 nucleotides long. RefSeq lists it as uncharacterized. The transcript is spliced from 3 exons. The record is from RefSeq and is a predicted model, not a curated record. NCBI's taxonomy places the organism in Eukaryota, Metazoa, Chordata, Mammalia, Carnivora, Mustelidae.